Molecule: ribosomal RNA, 468 nt
Filed under: uncultured bacterium
Lineage: Bacteria
Description: partial 16S ribosomal RNA
Rfam family: Bacterial small subunit ribosomal RNA
Source: RNAcentral
GGCGAACGCUGGCGGCGUGCUUAACACAUGCAAGUCGAACGGAAAGGCCCUGCUUUUGUGGGGUGCUCGAGUGGCGAACGGGUGAGUAACACGUGAGUAACCUGCCCUUGACUUUGGGAUAACUUCAGGAAACUGGGGCUAAUACCGGAUAGGAGCUCCUGCUGCAUGGUGGGGGUUGGAAAGUUUCGGCGGUUGGGGAUGGACUCGCGGCUUAUCAGCUUGUUGGUGGGGUAGUGGCUUACCAAGGCUUUGACGGGUAGCCGGCCUGAGAGGGUGACCGGCCACAUUGGGACUGAGAUACGGCCCAGACUCCUACGGGAGGCAGCGGUGGGGAAUAUUACACAAUGGGCGGAAGCCUGAUGCAGCAACGCCGCGUGCGGGAUGACGGCCUUCGGGUUGUAAACCGCUUUCGCCUGUGACGAAGCGUGAGUGACGGUAAUGGGUAAAGAAGCACCGGCUAACUACGUG